This 253-nucleotide ribosomal RNA is filed under the name uncultured bacterium. Its description in RNAcentral is "partial 16S ribosomal RNA". It matches the Rfam family "Bacterial small subunit ribosomal RNA", at positions 524 to 776 of the family's 1533-position model. The record is from RNAcentral.
UACAGAGGUCCCGAGCGUUGUUCGGAUUCAUUGGGCGUAAAGGGUGCGUAGGCGGUUUGCUAAGUUUGAUGUGAAAUUCCAGGGCUCAACCCUGGCAUGGCAUUGAAUACUGGCGGACUAGAGUACUGGAGAGGAAACUGGAAUUUACGGUGUAGCAGUGAAAUGCGUAGAGAUCGUAAGGAAGACCAGUGGCGAAGGCGAGUUUCUGGACAGUAACUGACGCUGAGGCACGAAGGCCAGGGGAGCAAACGGG